GACGAGGGGUCCUAGCGUUGUUCGGAAUCAUUGGGCGUAAAGCGUGUGUAGGCGGCCAAAUAAGUCAGUUGUGAAAGCCCCGGGCUCAACCCGGGAAGUGCUUCUGAUACUGUUUGGCUUGAGUACUGGAGAGGAUAGUAGAAUUCCAGGUGUAGUGGUGAAAUGCGUAGAUAUCGAGAGGAACACCUGCGGCGAAGGCGGGUUGCUGGGCUGACACUGACGCUGAUGCGCGAAAGCUAGGGGAGCGAACGGG
This 253-nucleotide ribosomal RNA is filed under the name uncultured bacterium. Its description in RNAcentral is "partial 16S ribosomal RNA". It matches the Rfam family "Bacterial small subunit ribosomal RNA", at positions 524 to 776 of the family's 1533-position model. The record is from RNAcentral.